Molecule: non-coding RNA, 770 nt
Organism: Nylanderia fulva
Lineage: Eukaryota; Metazoa; Arthropoda; Insecta; Hymenoptera; Formicidae
Source: RefSeq, a predicted model, not a curated record
UUUAAAUUUAAAAACCGAUAUUAUUUAUAUGGAAUAAAUCAAUAUACUUUAAUAAAUCGUUGUUUUGAAAAAAUAUAGCUAUAGGUCAAACGAACAUAUUUGAAUAUAUAAAUAAAUAAUUAAAACAUAUUUGUGUAGAAAUGUCAAAGGGAUCACAUACUAAUAAAGUGUUAUAUAAUUUUCAGAUAAUUCCGAGCUGGUAUAGACGAACCUUACCGAAUAAUCCAGGCGUGUAAACCGGAAACGGUGCAGUGUAAUCCAUUCCCUCGUCCUCGUAGAUAGUUUGCUGAUAAUAGAAGCCAUUGUUUGUUGGCUUAAUUGGUCUACGGUACAGUUCUUGCGCAUAUGGGGAACCAUCGUAUUCCGGUUCUCUCGAUGAAGACCCUCAAUUUUACAGGAUUUUCUCUCGUGUAUUACCAGUAUUCCGAGUACGUCCGCACAUCGCGGGAAGAUCGUUCCUCGUUCGUGGGAGGACGUCGCGUACGGCGCGGCACCUCGGCGACGCUGUGACGGCGCAGAUAAGCGUAAUUCUCCAGGUCCCACGGGUCCACGUAAUGACGACCGCCAACAUCGCUUCCGGAACUGCCGGAGGUCGAGUUUCGAGAGUCCACCGUACUCCAAUAGAUCGACGAUUCCGCCGGCAUUUUCUUCUAUCUCGAGAAUGCAAUGAAGCUUUUUUGAAGAAAGAAAACAUGUUAAAUUCCUUUUGCGAAAUGUUUCUUCCGGUCUUAUGCAAUAUAUUUGAUUUAUAUAUAUUUAUCUAAAAUUAA